Molecule: non-coding RNA, 172 nt
Organism: Oryza meridionalis
Lineage: Eukaryota; Viridiplantae; Streptophyta; Magnoliopsida; Poales; Poaceae
Source: Rfam
AACCACACUAUCAAUUAAUAGAUUCACCCGCGAGAUGACGUGGUUGUUUCACCUAGGACGAGAACAUGGCAUCCUAUUACUAGCCAUCGCACGAAAUUAAUAGGAUGCCAAGUCCUUAUCCUAGAUGGAAUAACCACAUCAUCGUAUGAAUCCAUUUAUCGAUAGUGUGGUU